GAGGCAGCAGUGAGGAAUAUUGGUCAAUGGGCGUAAGCCUGAACCAGCCAAGUCGCGUGAGGGAAGACGGUCCUACGGAUUGUAAACCUCUUUUGCCGGGGAGCAACGGGGUCCUUGCGAGGGCCCUAUGAGAGUACCCGGAGAAAAAGCAUCGGCUAACUCCGUGCCAGCAGCCGCGGUAAUACGGAGGAUGCGAGCGUUGUCCGGAUUUAUUGGGUUUAAAGGGUGCGUAGGCGGGCUGUUAAGUCAGCGGUCAAAUGUCGGGGCUCAACCCCGGCCUGCCGUUGAAACUGGCGGCCUCGAGUGGGCGAGAAGUAUGCGGAAUGCGUGGUGUAGCGGUGAAAUGCAUAGAUAUCACGCAGAACUCCGAUUGCGAAGGCAGCAUACCGGCGCCCUACUGACGCUGAGGCACGAAAGCGUGGGUAUCGAACAGGAUUAGAUACCCUGGUAGUCCACGCAGUAAACGAUGAAUGCUAGCUGUCCGGGACUUCGGUUCUGG
This 499-nucleotide ribosomal RNA is filed under the name uncultured bacterium. Its description in RNAcentral is "bacterial SSU rRNA". It matches the Rfam family "Bacterial small subunit ribosomal RNA", at positions 345 to 842 of the family's 1533-position model. The record is from RNAcentral.